CAUCAGAUUAAAGCCAACCUGACUUUUAAAGUUUCAAGGCUUUCUGUCGCUGAACUGGUGAAAACUUUUGCACAAUUGCUGGGAGCAGAGGGGCCUCUGUCGUCCAGCAUCCAGGGGUGGGUACCUUGUUUCUUCUUUACUCAUGAGAUCAAAACACAGAGAAGCAUGGAGGGGAAAAAAAAAAGUUCCCUGUUCCAUCCAAGGAGAAUUUUAAACUUAGCAUUUACAUCUUGGGGAAAGAAGAAAUACGCUUUAUAAGUGGAAUUCUGUUCACCUUGUCAUCCUAUGAGUACUUUUUGGAUGAUUUUAAGAUUCAUCAUAGACAACUGUGACUCUUGGGGAAUUGAAAGCAGAGUCAGCACGGUGGCCUUGAAUGUCAGUAAAUGCCACAGAUCCAGGAUGAGGGUGUCUCUCCCACUGGGUGGGAAUCAGAGCAGUGUCGUGUGAGGCAUGACGAACAGUUCUUCCAGCAAACCACAAGUUAUUUUAAACAGAAAAUAGUUCCUGUUCGAGGCCCUCCUAUUCAACAACUCCACCUGAGGUGGGGUGUGUAGCGUUUUCUGCUGAAUCUCGUUUCCGUAUCCGCUCAAAUUUAACCAGGAGCUGUCAGCUCCUUUCAAGUUUAGAGUCAAAUUCAAAUUUUUGAGUCUUACUUCAACUGUGAGGUUGUGGCUGGCAGUUGUUUCUAGUGAGCUCUGUAGUGUGUCUGUGUUCUCUUCGAUCAGUGCUUGCCACCAAAAGGAUGUCCAAGAGGAUCCUUUUUUACCUGCGAGCGAUUCAUCUAUUUAAAACAGGCUCCUGCCUAAUUCCCCAAAGCAGCCGGCCUUUGAAGGCUUUCUGAAUAAACUAAUUUGUUCAGAAAAAGCUUGGCCUUGAAACCAAACUAGAGAAAUAAAAUGUAAAAUUUAACUCUAAUGGAACAUGUGGAAAUGAAAAAAACUUAAGCCAAUGGAGAGUAAGAAGCAGAAAAAAGGAAGCUUAUCUAGAAUGGGAUUAUACAAUGUUUUUAAGUAGUCAAUUCAUGGAAAAAUAUUGAAUAUUAACACAGAGCAUAUUAAAAUAUGUAAAUAUUACUGUUUCUCAUGUCUUUCUCUUUCUAUCUUAUUUUAUGAGGUUUUAGAAUGAAUUGGUCCUUAGAUACACAGUGUUUCUUUCCAAAAAGUAAUUUUGUUGAUAUUGUAAAAAAAAUGUAAGUAAGGAUAAAGAUUUGAGUAGGCUCUAACAUUGUUCAAAUGUUUCCAGGAACCAAAUCGG
RNAcentral lists this long non-coding RNA (1254 nucleotides) under Rattus norvegicus (Norway rat). RNAcentral describes it as "long non-coding RNA NONRATT022437". Lineage: Eukaryota; Metazoa; Chordata; Mammalia; Rodentia; Muridae. The record is from RNAcentral.